GAAUAGUGAUGGAUUGAUGGCAGGCCUUUCUCUGUUGGCCCCUCAUACUAUAUCAAUGCCAGAGGAGCGUGCAGCCCUGAACCACUGCCCAGCCUCCUCACUGGUGGGCUGUGAGCACUGAAGGCGGCUAUACAGGG
Canis lupus familiaris (dog) is the source of this 137-nucleotide non-coding RNA. Lineage: Eukaryota; Metazoa; Chordata; Mammalia; Carnivora; Canidae. The record is from Rfam.